GAAGUUCAUUAGUUGCAAAUGACAAGACUCACCCAGUGUCUUGUUUGGCUUGAAUGUGAAAACGUACAAGAAUAAGAGUGAGAGAGGGGUGAUGGAUAGCUGUUAAGUUCAAAAAUUGGGUGGUCAAUGAAAUGUAAGGAGUCCUAUUGUUGUGCAUCUUUAUUCAUCAGCUUGUCUUUGACAUUUUUCUGUUAAAUUAUUAAUGGAGGCAUCCAAUGCCCCUAAU
This 226-nucleotide unclassified non-coding RNA is filed under the name Hevea brasiliensis (rubber tree). The record is from RNAcentral. Lineage: Eukaryota; Viridiplantae; Streptophyta; Magnoliopsida; Malpighiales; Euphorbiaceae.